This 164-nucleotide ribosomal RNA is filed under the name Aragoa abietina. Its description in RNAcentral is "5.8S ribosomal RNA". It matches the Rfam family "5.8S ribosomal RNA". Rfam says of the family: 5.8S ribosomal RNA (5.8S rRNA) is a component of the large subunit of the eukaryotic ribosome. RNAcentral also lists the same sequence under 4 other names. The record is from RNAcentral. Lineage: Eukaryota; Viridiplantae; Streptophyta; Magnoliopsida; Lamiales; Plantaginaceae.
AAAACGACUCUCGGCAACGGAUAUCUCGGCUCUCGCAUCGAUGAAGAACGUAGCGAAAUGCGAUACUUGGUGUGAAUUGCAGAAUCCCGUGAACCAUCGAGUCUUUGAACGCAAGUUGCGCCCGAAGCCUUCUGGUUGAGGGCACGCCUGCCUGGGCGUCACGC